GAUGAACGCUGGCUACAGGCUUAACACAUGCAAGUCGAGGGGAAACGCCGGGGAAGCUUGCUUCCCCGGGCGUCGACCGGCGCACGGGUGAGUAACGCGUAUCCAACCUGCCUCUGACUGAGGGAUAACCCGUCGAAAGUCGGCCUAAUACCUCAUGGCAUCGUCUGCGGGCAUCCAACGACGAUUAAAGAUUUCAUCGGUCAGGGAUGGGGAUGCGUCUGAUUAGCUUGUUGGCGGGGUAACGGCCCACCAAGGCUACGAUCAGUAGGGGUUCUGAGAGGAAGGUCCCCCACAUUGGAACUGAGACACGGUCCAAACUCCUACGGGAGGCAGCAGUGAGGAAUAUUGGUCAAUGGGCGGGUGCCUGAACCAGCCAAGUAGCGUGCAGGAUGACGGCCCUAUGGGUUGUAAACUGCUUUUAUGCGGGGAUAAAGUGAGGGACGUGUCCUUCAUUGCAGGUACCGCAUGAAUAAGGACCGGCUAAUUCCGUG
RNAcentral lists this ribosomal RNA (491 nucleotides) under uncultured bacterium. RNAcentral's name for it is "partial 16S ribosomal RNA". It matches the Rfam family "Bacterial small subunit ribosomal RNA", at positions 28 to 507 of the family's 1533-position model. The record is from RNAcentral.